UAGAAGGUCUCAGGUCUUACCCAGGCAGGGCGCUAGGCUAGAAGGUCUCAGGUCUUACCCAGGCAGGGAGCUAGGCUAGAAGGUCUCAGGUCUUACCCAGGCAGGGGGCUAGGUUUAGAAGGUCUCAGGUCUUACCCAGGCAGGGAGCUAGGCUAGAAGGUCUCAGGUCUUACCCAGGCAGGGAGCUAGGCUAGAAGGUCUCAGGUCUUACCCAGGCAGGGAGCUAGGCUAGAAG
Long non-coding RNA from Oncorhynchus tshawytscha (Chinook salmon), 235 nucleotides. RefSeq lists it as uncharacterized. The transcript is spliced from 2 exons. The record is from RefSeq and is a predicted model, not a curated record. Lineage: Eukaryota; Metazoa; Chordata; Actinopteri; Salmoniformes; Salmonidae.